GACGAACGCUGGCGGCGUGCUUAACACAUGCAAGUCGAACGGAAAGGCCCUGCUUUUGUGGGGUGCUCGAGUGGCGAACGGGUGAGUAACACGUGAGUAACCUGCCCUUGACUUUGGGGUAACUUCAGGAAACUGGGGCUAAUACCGGAUAGGAGCUCCUGCUGCAUGGUGGGGGUUGGAAAGUUUCGGCGGUUGGGGAUGGACUCGCGGCUUAUCAGCUUGUUGGUGGGGUAGUGGCUUACCAAGGCUUUGACGGGUAGCCGGCCUGAGAGGGUGACCGGCCACAUUGGGACUGAGAUACGGCCCAGACUCCUACGGGAGGCAGCAGUGGGGAAUAUUGCACAAUGGGCGGAAGCCUGAUGCAGCAACGCCGCGUGCGGGGUGACGGCCUUCGGGUUGUAAACCGCUUUCGCCUGUGACGAAGCGUGAGUGACGGUAAUGGGUAAAGAAGCACCGGCUAACUACGUG
This 468-nucleotide ribosomal RNA is filed under the name uncultured bacterium. Its description in RNAcentral is "partial 16S ribosomal RNA". It matches the Rfam family "Bacterial small subunit ribosomal RNA", at positions 28 to 507 of the family's 1533-position model. The record is from RNAcentral.